GCCGGCGUAGCUCAGGGGUAGAGCAGCUGAUUCGUAAUCAGCAGGUCAAGGGUUCAAUUCCCUUCGCCGGCUCCA
This 75-nucleotide transfer RNA is filed under the name Deltaproteobacteria bacterium RBG_16_42_7. RNAcentral's name for it is "tRNA-Thr". It matches the Rfam family "tRNA". From Rfam's summary of the family: Transfer RNA (tRNA) molecules are approximately 80 nucleotides in length. Their secondary structure includes four short double-helical elements and three loops (D, anti-codon, and T loops). The record is from RNAcentral. Lineage: Bacteria; Deltaproteobacteria.